UAGAGUUUGAUCCUGGCUCAGGACGAACGCUGGCGGCGUGCCUAAUACAUGCAAGUCGAACGCUGCUUAAGAAGAAACUUCGGUUUUUUCUUAAGCGGAGUGGCGGACGGGUGAGUAACACGUGGGAACCUAUCCAUCAGCGGGGGAUAACACUUGGAAACAGGUGCUAAUACCGCAUAUGGCUUUUUUUCACCUGAAAGAAAGCUCAAAGGCGCUUUACAGCGUCACUGAUGGCUGGUCCCGCGGUGCAUUAGCCAGUUGGUGAGGUAACGGCUCACCAAAGCAACGAUGCAUAGCCGACCUGAGAGGGUGAUCGGCCACACUGGGACUGAGACCGGCCCAGACUCCUACGGGAGGCAGCAGUAGGGAAUCUUCGGCAAUGGACGCAAGUCUGACCGAGCAACGCCGCGUGAGUGAAGAAGGUUUUCGGAUCGUAAAGCUCUGUUGUCAGCAAAGAACAGGAGAAAGAGGAAUGCU
Molecule: ribosomal RNA, 477 nt
Filed under: Tetragenococcus halophilus
Lineage: Bacteria; Bacillati; Bacillota; Bacilli; Lactobacillales; Enterococcaceae
Description: bacterial SSU rRNA
Rfam family: Bacterial small subunit ribosomal RNA
Source: RNAcentral